AUGCUCUGUAACCCAAAGCUCCGGCGCCCUAGGAUGGGUCUGCGGCCGAUUAGGUUGUUGUCGGGGUAACGGCCCAACAAGCCGAUCAUCGGUACGGGUUGUGGGAGCAAGAGCCCGGAGAUGGAUUCUGAGACAUGAAUCCAGGCCCUACGGGGCGCAGCAGGCGCGAAAACUUUACAAUGCGGGAAACCGUGAUAAGGGGACCCCGAGUGCCUGUACACGCAGGCUGCUCAGGUGUUUAAAACGCAUCUGGAGAAAGGGCCGGGCAAGACCGGUGCCAGCCGCCGCGGUAAUACCGGCGGCUCGAGUGGUGGCCACUAUUACUGGGCUUAAAGCGUCCGUAGCCGGGUCGUUAAGUCUCCCGGGAAAUCCAACGGCUUAACCGUUGGGCGUUCGGGGGAUACUGGCGAUCUAGGGAUCGGGGGAGGUGAGAGGUACUCUAGGGGUAGGAGUGAAAUCCUGUAAUCCUUGGGGGACCACCUGUGGCGAAGGCGUCUCACCAGAACGACUCCGACGGUGAGGGACGAAAGCUGGGGGAGCAAACCGGAUUAGAUACCCGGGUAGUCCCAGCUGUAAACGAUGCGCGUUAGGUGUAUCGGUGACUACGAGUUACCGAGGUGCCGAAGGGAAACCGUGA
This 637-nucleotide ribosomal RNA is filed under the name uncultured archaeon. RNAcentral describes it as "bacterial SSU rRNA". It matches the Rfam family "Archaeal small subunit ribosomal RNA", at positions 175 to 817 of the family's 1478-position model. The record is from RNAcentral.